RNAcentral lists this ribosomal RNA (373 nucleotides) under uncultured organism. RNAcentral describes it as "partial 16S ribosomal RNA". It matches the Rfam family "Bacterial small subunit ribosomal RNA", at positions 527 to 896 of the family's 1533-position model. The record is from RNAcentral.
GUAGGUGGCAAGCGUUGUCCGGAAUUAUUGGGCGUAAAGCGCGCGCAGGUGGUUCUUUAAGUCUGAUGUGAAAGCCCCCGGCUCAACCGGGGAGGGUCAUUGGAAACUGGGGAACUUGAGUGCAGGAGAGGAAAGUGGAAUUCCACGUGUAGCGGUGAAAUGCGUAGAUAUGUGGAGGAACACCAGUGGCGAGGCGACUUUCUGGCCUGUAACUGACACUGAGGCGCGAAAGCGUGGGGAGCAAACAGGGAUUAGAUACCCUGGUAGUCCACGCCGUAAACGAUGAGUGCUAAGUGUUGGGGGGGUUUCCCGCCCCUCAGUGCUGCAGCUAACGCAUUAAGCACUCCGCCUGGGGAGUACGGUCGCAAGACUG